RNAcentral lists this long non-coding RNA (1145 nucleotides) under Marmota monax (woodchuck). The record is from RNAcentral. Lineage: Eukaryota; Metazoa; Chordata; Mammalia; Rodentia; Sciuridae.
UAAAGUGCCCUGGAUUUAAUUUCCAGUACCACUGCCCCCAACCCCCACUGAGAGAGAGAGAGAGAGAGAGAGAGAGAGAGAGAGAGAGAGAAAGAGAGAGAGAGAGACCCUUCAAACUCUUUCAUAACUGGCAUCAAUGCAUUUAUGAGAGUGGAGUCCCCAUGAAGACUCUAUCUCCCAACGUUGCUGCAGUGGGCGUUAAGUUUCCAGCAUAUGCUUUUUUGGAGAAAUGCAUUCAAACCAUAGUACUCUUCAACCUGGCUCUGCAUCUUUUUGGAAUGAACGUCCUCAAAUCAAAUCCAUUCAAUAUCUGUGGCAUUAAUGAUGUGCAAGCUGCAGUGUUAGAUAUCGUGAUAGAGUAACCCAGAAGAUAGCUAUCUUUUGAUAGUUAUCAGUUAUCUUUUGAUAACUGAUUUAAAUUGAAAUGAAAAGAAUUCAUAAGUGAAGAGUUAAAAAGAAAUGAAUUAUUCAAAAUAAUAAUAGAUGUAUUCCUUAUUUCUGUGUCUGAGUGUGCUUUCUUAUUUAUCAUUUUUCUUAGUCUGUCUUCAGGGACUGAAUUCCGUCUUGUGUUGGUGACUGACCAGCUUCUUGGUUGAUCCCCCAUCUCUACAGGCAACUGCCUCCAUUCAGAGGCCACCUCUCUACUCCAUUAACCUCAGACAGAAGAUGGAAAGAAACGGGUGUACAUUUCCUGCUUCUCUUAGAUCCCUCAGAUUUGGGCACUGACUCUCCUGCAUCUGAGAUUAGACAUCGUGGUGGCAGGGCAGGAGGUCUCAGCAGGGAAGUUCUCCACAUCACAUGCAUCCCAUAUCCACAUUCAGGGCACAGACUGUGUGGCUCAGGUAGAGGGCUGGCCAUUUAGGCUUUGCAAACUUGCCUCAUUUUUAUCUCUAUUUCUGGCUUGCUCAGUAGUCUUGUUGAGAAAAAUUCCCCCAUCUUCCAGAAACAAGACUGGGUACUGGAAAAGAAGGGGGUGAACGAGACAUUUAGCAAGUACCUAGGCUCAGUAUAGCAAUAGUUAGUCAUUCAAGGUUAAAAUCCUGGGGCUGGAAUUGUGGUUCAGCGGUAGAGCGCUCCCCUAGGAUGGGCGGGUUCAAUUCUCAGCACCACAUAAAGAUAAAGGCAUUGUGUCCAUCUACAAAAAA